CUUCUCCGAGAUAACAGCAAGGCUGUUGUUUCACGGUCUGCGGGUUAGCCGCAAGCACCAGGGAGGAUAACGUUGCUUUAGCAACGGCCCGAAGGGCGAGGCGCAGCCGAGUAAUCCUCCCGGAUGCACCA
RNAcentral lists this small RNA (131 nucleotides) under Enterobacter ludwigii. Its description in RNAcentral is "RtT sRNA". It matches the Rfam family "RtT RNA". Rfam says of the family: This family represents a bacterial cis-regulatory element known as RtT RNA. The exact function of RtT is unknown although it is thought that it may be involved in changing the cellular response in relation to amino acid starvation. Lineage: Bacteria; Pseudomonadati; Pseudomonadota; Gammaproteobacteria; Enterobacterales; Enterobacteriaceae. The record is from RNAcentral.